Molecule: ribosomal RNA, 309 nt
Filed under: uncultured archaeon
Lineage: Archaea
Description: bacterial SSU rRNA
Rfam family: Archaeal small subunit ribosomal RNA
Source: RNAcentral
CAGCCAGACAGGUCCGUCGGGAAAUCCACUCGCUCAACGAGUGGGCGUCCGGCGGAAACCAGCUGGCUUGGGGUCGGAAGACCUGAGGGGUACGUCCGGGGUAGGAGUGAAAUCCCGUAAUCCUGGACGGACCACCGGUGGCGAAAGCGCCUCAGGAAGACGGACCCGACGGUGAGGGACGAAAGCUAGAGUCACGAACCGGAUUAGAUACCCGGGUAGUCCUAGCUGUAAACGAUGCUCGCUAGGUGUGGCGUUGGCUACGAGCCAGCGCUGUGCCGUAGGGAAGCCGAGAAGCGAGCCGCCUGGGAA